RNAcentral lists this non-coding RNA (110 nucleotides) under Halothermothrix orenii. Its description in RNAcentral is "TPP sequence". It matches the Rfam family "TPP riboswitch aptamer (THI element)". Rfam says of the family: Vitamin B(1) in its active form thiamin pyrophosphate (TPP) is an essential coenzyme that is synthesised by coupling of pyrimidine and thiazole moieties in bacteria. The previously detected thiamin-regulatory element, thi box was extended, resulting in a new, highly conserved RNA secondary structure, the THI element, which is widely distributed in eubacteria and also occurs in some archaea. RNAcentral also lists the same sequence under 1 other name. Lineage: Bacteria; Bacillati; Bacillota; Clostridia; Halanaerobiales; Halothermotrichaceae. The record is from RNAcentral.
UAUUAAAAUUUGGGGAGCUUCGGCUGAGAGAGGCUGAGAGGAUGCUAGAGCAUCGACCCAUUGAACCUGACCCGGGUAAUUCCGGCGUAGGGAAAAUAAGAUGAACUGUA